Molecule: non-coding RNA, 73 nt
Organism: Stegodyphus mimosarum
Lineage: Eukaryota; Metazoa; Arthropoda; Arachnida; Araneae; Eresidae
Source: Rfam
GCCUUCGUGGUGUAGUGGUCAGCACGCUUGACGCUUAACUGAGAGGUCUGUGGUUCGAUUCCCGGCGAAGACG